GAUGAACGCUGGCGGCGUGCCUAAUACAUGCAAGUCGAACGCAUUGUGGUUGAAAUGAUAUGAAGAACUUGUUCAGAUUUGAUUUUAAACAUUGCAAUGAGUGGCGAACGGGUGAGUAACACGUGGGAAACCUACCUCUUAGCAGGGGAUAACAUUUGGAAACAAAUGCUAAUACCGUAUAAUAAUUAAAACCGCAUGGUUUUAGUUUAAAAGAUGGUCUUGCUAUCACUAAGAGAUGGUCCCGCGGUGUAUUAGUUAGUUGGUGAGGUAAUGGCUCACCAAGACAAUGAUACAUAGCCGAGUUGAGAGACUGACCGGCCACAAUGGGACUGAGACACGGCCCAUACUCCUACGGGAGGCAGCAGUAGGGAAUCUUCCACAAUGGACGAAAGUCUGAUGGAGCAACGCCGCGUGUGUGAUGAAGGGUUUCGGCUCGUAAAACACUGUUGUAAAGAGAAGAAUGACAUUGAGAGUAACUGUUCAAUGUGUGACGGUAUC
RNAcentral lists this ribosomal RNA (498 nucleotides) under uncultured bacterium. RNAcentral describes it as "bacterial SSU rRNA". It matches the Rfam family "Bacterial small subunit ribosomal RNA", at positions 28 to 479 of the family's 1533-position model. The record is from RNAcentral.